This 824-nucleotide long non-coding RNA is filed under the name Anser brachyrhynchus (Pink-footed goose). Its description in RNAcentral is "lncRNA (ENSABRG00000022267.1)". Lineage: Eukaryota; Metazoa; Chordata; Aves; Anseriformes; Anatidae. The record is from RNAcentral.
CCGGGAGGUGUGGUAGGGGAGGGUUUGUAGAGCUUCAAAUUUUAAGCACGAUGAUCCUGUCCAGCCCCGCUGCCCACACGCGCCCCCAGCCCCACGCCCACGGGGCUGAGGCUGCCUGGGCAGGCGCUGACAGCCGCCGAGGUGUGGGGCUGCCGGGGCUGUCGCGGGUGUGCUGUGGCCCCAGCAGGCUCAGCACCCGUGCAUGGACCUGCUGGGGGUCUCCUUGGGCAUGCACAAUGAAAGUUUCUACUGCUUCCCUUGGGUAUCUCAUACAUCAUUCUGCCAGGAAAAGAGAAAAUCAGGAAUACUGUGUCUAUGCUCAGGUCCAACUCUUUAUACCUCCUUUUGAGAAUCUGUGUGGCCGGCUGCCCGUACGCCUGUCCCAGCUCCUCCUGCCGUUGUGUGGUGGAGCUGGAGGGCGGCCGUGAGCCCAUCCGAUAGCGCGGGGUCCGACGGCUCUUGCGUUCCUCAGGUGCCCUUUGUGCCUUGGAGGAGCCCAGCCUGGCGCUCGGCAUCUGGCUCUGCUCCAGUCACCGACAGAAUGGCUGUGUGCAUGGCCUGAAGUGAUACCACUGCUGGAAACAAUCUUUGCUUUCAUCCUUCAUUGCAGACUCAUCCCAGUUUUUGUCUGAAAUCUUUUUUUGCCUCUUCCAUCCUAACUGUAUCCAGAUUUUCCUGUUUCCUCCCUCAUGUCUCAGCUGUAUCAGCUGCACUGGUCCCAGCCGCGUUUCUCUUGGUCAUAUUCUGCAUUUUACUGAUUCUUCCAAGUCCUGCUUCUUGUGCUGGUGGUGGUAUUUGUGAUUUAUCCCAGCUGAGUCUCGUCU